RNAcentral lists this ribosomal RNA (477 nucleotides) under Flavobacteriaceae bacterium enrichment culture clone PSHTC-045. RNAcentral describes it as "bacterial SSU rRNA". It matches the Rfam family "Bacterial small subunit ribosomal RNA", at positions 48 to 522 of the family's 1533-position model. Lineage: Bacteria; Pseudomonadati; Bacteroidota; Flavobacteriia; Flavobacteriales; Flavobacteriaceae. The record is from RNAcentral.
GCUAUACAUGCAGUCGACGGUAACAUUGGUGCUUGCACCAGAUGACGAGUGGCGCACGGGUGCGUAACGCGUAUGCAAUCUACCUUUUACUAGAGUAUAGCCCAGAGAAAUUUGGAUUAAUCCUCUAUAAUAUCUUUUAAUUUCAUGAUUUUAAGAUUAAAGUUUUAACGGUAAAAGAUGAGCAUGCGUCCUAUUAGUUUGUAGGUGAGGUAACGGCUCACCUAGACUACGAUAGGUAGGGGCCCUGAGAGGGGGAUCCCCCACACUGGUACUGAGACACGGACCAGACUCCUACGGGAGGCAGCAGUAAGGAAUAUUGGACAAUGGACGAAAGUCUGAUCCAGCCAUGCCGCGUGCAGGAUGAAAGCCCUACGGGUUGUAAACUGCUUUUAUACAGGAAGAAACACUCCGACGUGUCGGAGCUUGACGGUACUGUAAGAAUAAGGAUCGGCUAACUCCGUGCCAGCCGCCGGGGGU